RNAcentral lists this ribosomal RNA (423 nucleotides) under uncultured bacterium. RNAcentral describes it as "partial 16S ribosomal RNA". It matches the Rfam family "Bacterial small subunit ribosomal RNA", at positions 359 to 774 of the family's 1533-position model. The record is from RNAcentral.
GAAUUUUGGACAAUGGGCGAAAGCCUGAUCCAGCAAUGCCGCGUUCAGGAUGAAGGCCUUCGGGUUGUAAACUGCUUUUGUACGGAACGAAAAGCUUUGGGUUAAUACCCUGGAGGCAUGACGGUACCGUAAGAAUAAGCACCGGCUCACACCGUGCCACCAGCCGCGGUAAUACGUAGGGUGAAAGCGUUACUCGGAAUUACUGGGCGUAAAGCGUGCGCAGGCGGUGUUGUAAGACAGAGGUGAAAUCCCCGGGCGCAACCUGGGAACUGCCUGUGUGACUGCAAGGCUAGAGUACGGCAGAGGGGGGUGGGAUUCCGCGUGUAGCAGUGAAAUGCGUAGAUAUGCGGGGGAACACCGAUGGCGAAGGCAACCCCCUGGGCCUGUACUGACGCUCAUGCACGAAAGCGUGGGGAGCAAACA